UGAAGUAUAGCUCAACUGGCAGAGCGACGGUCUCUGACACCGUAGGUUCUUGGUUCGACCCCAAGUACUUCAG
RNAcentral lists this transfer RNA (73 nucleotides) under Pantoea phage vB_PagS_AAS21. It matches the Rfam family "tRNA". From Rfam's summary of the family: Transfer RNA (tRNA) molecules are approximately 80 nucleotides in length. Their secondary structure includes four short double-helical elements and three loops (D, anti-codon, and T loops). Lineage: Duplodnaviria; Heunggongvirae; Uroviricota; Caudoviricetes; Demerecviridae. The record is from Rfam by way of RNAcentral.